UACGGAGGGUGCAAGCGUUGUUCGGAAUCAUUGGGCGUAAAGCGCGUGUAGGCGGCCUGGUAAGUCGGGUGUGAAAUCCCGGGGCUCAACCCCGGAACUGCAUUCGAUACUGCCAGGCUAGAGUCCCGGAGAGGGUGGUGGAAUUCCCGGUGUAGAGGUGAAAUUCGUAGAUAUCGGGAGGAACACCAGCGGCGAAGGCGGCCACCUGGAUGGUGACUGACGCUGAGAUGCGAAAGCGUGGGGAGCAACCAGG
RNAcentral lists this ribosomal RNA (253 nucleotides) under uncultured bacterium. RNAcentral's name for it is "partial 16S ribosomal RNA". It matches the Rfam family "Bacterial small subunit ribosomal RNA", at positions 524 to 776 of the family's 1533-position model. The record is from RNAcentral.